AUACUUACCUAGCAUGAUAUGGGAGGUGGUUUCCUAGGGUUAACCUUAUCCAUUGCACUCUGGGUGUGUUGACCCCUGCAGUUCCCCAAAUGCAGGAAGCUUGGCUGCAUAAUUUGUGGCAGCGGGGACUGAAUGCCAUUUUCCUUG
Cricetulus griseus (Chinese hamster) is the source of this 147-nucleotide small nuclear RNA. Its record names the gene U1. It matches the Rfam family "U1 spliceosomal RNA". From Rfam's summary of the family: U1 is a small nuclear RNA (snRNA) component of the spliceosome (involved in pre-mRNA splicing). Its 5' end forms complementary base pairs with the 5' splice junction, thus defining the 5' donor site of an intron. There are significant differences in sequence and secondary structure between metazoan and yeast U1 snRNAs, the latter being much longer (568 nucleotides as compared to 164 nucleotides in human). Lineage: Eukaryota; Metazoa; Chordata; Mammalia; Rodentia; Cricetidae. The record is from Ensembl.